Molecule: ribosomal RNA, 253 nt
Filed under: uncultured bacterium
Lineage: Bacteria
Description: partial 16S ribosomal RNA
Rfam family: Bacterial small subunit ribosomal RNA
Source: RNAcentral
UACGAGGGGGGCGAGCGUUGUUCGGAAUUAUUGGGCGUAAAGGGCGCGUAGGCGGUGCGGCAAGUCAGAUGUGAAACCUCCAGGCUUAACCUGGAGCUGGCAUCUGAAACUGCCGUGCUAGAGUGUGGGAGAGGAGAGUGGAAUUCCUGGUGUAGCGGUGAAAUGCGUAGAUAUCAGGAGGAACACCGGUGGCGAAGGCGGCUCUCUGGACCACAACUGACGCUGAGGCGCGAAAGCUAGGGGAGCAAACAGG